This 204-nucleotide long non-coding RNA is filed under the name Mytilus galloprovincialis (Mediterranean mussel). Lineage: Eukaryota; Metazoa; Mollusca; Bivalvia; Mytilida; Mytilidae. The record is from RNAcentral.
GGUUGGCCGGGUCACCGGACACAUUUUUUUAAACUAGAUACCCCAAUGAUGAUUGUGGCCAAGUUUGGUUUAAUUUGGCCCAGUAGUUUCAGAGGAGAAGAUUUUUGUAAAAGUUAACGACGACGGACGACGGACGACGACGGACGACGGACGCAAAGUGAUUGGAUAAGCUCACUUGGCCCUUUGGGCCAGGUGAGCUAAAAA